GAUGAACGCUGACAGAAUGCUUAACACAUGCAAGUCGAUGGGGAAGUGGUGCUUGCACCAUGGUAACCAUGGCGGACGGGUGAGUAACGCGUAAGGAACUUGCCUGCGGGACUGGGAUAACAGCAGGAAACUGCUGACAAGACCGGAUAAGGUCAUUAAGCGGCAUGGUUUAAUGAUGAAAGGAGACGCCUGCGGAGAGCCUUGCGUCCUAUUAGCUAGUUGGAGGGGUAACGGCCCACCAAGGCGAAGAUAGGUAGCCGGCCUGAGAGGGUGGACGGCCACAAGGGGACUGAGAUACGGCCCUUACUCCUACGGGAGGCAGCAGUGGGGAAUAUUGGACAAUGGGGGCAACCCUGAUCCAGCAAUUCUGUGUGCACGAAGACGGUUUUCGGAUUGUAAAGUGCUUUCAGCAGGGAAGAAGGAAGUGACGGUACCUGCAGAAGAAGCGACGGCUAAAUACGUGCCAGCAGCCGCGGUAAUACGUAUGUCGCGAGCGUUAUCCGGAAUUAUUGGGCAUAAGGGCAUCUAGGCGGCCUUUCAAGUCAGGGGUGAAAACCUGCGGCUCAACCGCAGGCCUGCCUUUGAAACUGAUAGGCUGGAGUACCGGAGAGGUGGACGGAACUGCACGAGUAGAGGUGAAAUUCGUAGAUAUGUGCAGGAAUGCCGAUGAUGAAGAUAGUUCACUGGACGGUAACUGACGCUGAAGUGCGAAAGCCGGGGGAGCGAACAGG
RNAcentral lists this ribosomal RNA (731 nucleotides) under uncultured Leptotrichia sp. RNAcentral's name for it is "bacterial SSU rRNA". It matches the Rfam family "Bacterial small subunit ribosomal RNA", at positions 28 to 776 of the family's 1533-position model. The record is from RNAcentral. Lineage: Bacteria; Fusobacteriati; Fusobacteriota; Fusobacteriia; Fusobacteriales; Leptotrichiaceae.